AUUGAACGCUGGCGGCAGGCUUAACACAUGCAAGUCGAGCGAGCGGCGCACGUGUGAGAAAUGUCUGGGACACUGCCUUAUGGAGGGUGAUAACUACUGGAAACGGUAACUACUACCUCAUAUCAGCAGUGGCGCCCAGAUGGGAUUUGCUAGUAGGUGGGGUAAUGGCUCACCUAGGCGACGAUCCCUAGCUGGUCUGAGAGGAUGACCAGCCACACUGGAACUGAGACACGGUCCAGACUCCUACGGGAGGCAGCAGUGGGGAAUAUUGCACAAUGGGCGCAAGCCUGAUGCAGCCAUGCCGCGUGUGUGAAGAAGGCCUUCGGGUUGUAAAGCACUUUCAGCGAGGAGGCGUUACCCGCAGAAGAAGCACCGGCUAACUCCGUGCCAGCAGCCGCGGUAAUAC
This 406-nucleotide ribosomal RNA is filed under the name uncultured bacterium. RNAcentral's name for it is "partial 16S ribosomal RNA". It matches the Rfam family "Bacterial small subunit ribosomal RNA", at positions 30 to 526 of the family's 1533-position model. The record is from RNAcentral.